Molecule: ribosomal RNA, 450 nt
Filed under: uncultured bacterium
Lineage: Bacteria
Description: bacterial SSU rRNA
Rfam family: Bacterial small subunit ribosomal RNA
Source: RNAcentral
UCAAGAAACUUCCACAAUGGGCGAAAGCCUGAUGGAGCGACGUCGCGUGAUGGACGAAGUGCUUCGGCACGUAAACAUCUUUUUAUGUGGGAUGAAAUUAUUGACAGUACCACAUGAAUAAGGGGCUCCUAACUCUGUGCCAGCAGGAGCGGUAAUACAGAGGCCCCAAGCGUUAUCCGGAAUCACUGGGCGUAAAGGGUGUCGAGGCGGUUGUAUUAGUCGUUCGUAAAAUCUACGAGCUUAACUUGUAGGCGGCGAACGAAACGGUACGACUUGAGGUUUGGAGAGGUGCGUGGAACUCACGGUGUAGGGGUGAAAUCCGUUGAUAUCGUGGGGAACACCAAAGGCGAAGGCAGCGCACUGGCCAAAUCUGACGCUCACACACGAAAGCUAGGGUAGCGAAGAGGAUUAGAUACCCCGGUAGUCCCUGAGCGGGCUGGCAAGGCGCAU